Molecule: ribosomal RNA, 2923 nt
Filed under: Klebsiella pneumoniae
Lineage: Bacteria; Pseudomonadati; Pseudomonadota; Gammaproteobacteria; Enterobacterales; Enterobacteriaceae
Description: bacterial LSU rRNA
Rfam family: Bacterial large subunit ribosomal RNA
Source: RNAcentral
GGGUUGUGAGGUUAAGCGACUAAGCGUACACGGUGGAUGCCCUGGCAGUCAGAGGCGAUGAAGGACGUGCUAAUCUGCGAAAAGCGUCGGUAAGGUGAUAUGAACCGUUAUAACCGGCGAUGUCCGAAUGGGGAAACCCAGUGUGAUUCGUCACACUAUCGUUAACUGAAUACAUAGGUUAACGAGGCGAACCGGGGGAACUGAAACAUCUAAGUACCCCGAGGAAAAGAAAUCAACCGAGAUUCCCCCAGUAGCGGCGAGCGAACGGGGAGCAGCCCAGAGUCUGAAUCAGCUUGUGUGUUAGUGGAACGGUCUGGAAAGUCCGACGGUACAGGGUGAUAGUCCCGUACACCAAAAUGCACAGGUUGUGAACUCGAAGAGUAGGGCGGGACACGUGGUAUCCUGUCUGAAUAUGGGGGGACCAUCCUCCAAGGCUAAAUACUCCUGACUGACCGAUAGUGAACCAGUACCGUGAGGGAAAGGCGAAAAGAACCCCGGCGAGGGGAGUGAAAAAGAACCUGAAACCGUGUACGUACAAGCAGUGGGAGCACCUUCGGGUGUGACUGCGUACCUUUUGUAUAAUGGGUCAGCGACUUAUAUUCUGUAGCAAGGUUAACCGUAUAGGGGAGCCGCAGGGAAACCGAGUCUUAACUGGGCGUUAAGUUGCAGGGUAUAGACCCGAAACCCGGUGAUCUAGCCAUGGGCAGGUUGAAGGUUGGGUAACACUAACUGGAGGACCGAACCGACUAAUGUUGAAAAAUUAGCGGAUGACUUGUGGCUGGGGGUGAAAGGCCAAUCAAACCGGGAGAUAGCUGGUUCUCCCCGAAAGCUAUUUAGGUAGCGCCUCGUGAACUCAUCUUCGGGGGUAGAGCACUGUUUCGGCUAGGGGGUCAUCCCGACUUACCAACCCGAUGCAAACUACGAAUACCGAAGAAUGUUAUCACGGGAGACACACGGCGGGUGCUAACGUCCGUCGUGAAGAGGGAAACAACCCAGACCGCCAGCUAAGGUCCCAAAGUCAUGGUUAAGUGGGAAACGAUGUGGGAAGGCACAGACAGCCAGGAUGUUGGCUUAGAAGCAGCCAUCAUUUAAAGAAAGCGUAAUAGCUCACUGGUCGAGUCGGCCUGCGCGGAAGAUGUAACGGGGCUAAACCAUGCACCGAAGCUGCGGCAGCGACACUAUGUGUUGUUGGGUAGGGGAGCGUUCUGUAAGCCUGCGAAGGUGACCUGUGAGGGUUGCUGGAGGUAUCAGAAGUGCGAAUGCUGACAUAAGUAACGAUAAAGCGGGUGAAAAGCCCGCUCGCCGGAAGACCAAGGGUUCCUGUCCAACGUUAAUCGGGGCAGGGUGAGUCGACCCCUAAGGCGAGGCCGAAAGGCGUAGUCGAUGGGAAACAGGUUAAUAUUCCUGUACUUGGUGUUACUGCGAAGGGGGGACGGAGAAGGCUAUGUUAGCCGGGCGACGGUUGUCCCGGUUUAAGCAUGUAGGCUGGUUAUCCAGGCAAAUCCGGAUAAUCAAGGCUGAGGUGUGAUGACGAGGCACUACGGUGCUGAAGUAACAAAUGCCCUGCUUCCAGGAAAAGCCUCUAAGCAUCAGGUAACAUCAAAUCGUACCCCAAACCGACACAGGUGGUCAGGUAGAGAAUACCAAGGCGCUUGAGAGAACUCGGGUGAAGGAACUAGGCAAAAUGGUGCCGUAACUUCGGGAGAAGGCACGCUGGUGUGUAGGUGAAGUCCCUGCGGAUGGAGCUGAGACCAGUCGAAGAUACCAGCUGGCUGCAACUGUUUAUUAAAAACACAGCACUGUGCAAACACGAAAGUGGACGUAUACGGUGUGACGCCUGCCCGGUGCCGGAAGGUUAAUUGAUGGGGUUAUCCGUAAGGAGAAGCUCUUGAUCGAAGCCCCGGUAAACGGCGGCCGUAACUAUAACGGUCCUAAGGUAGCGAAAUUCCUUGUCGGGUAAGUUCCGACCUGCACGAAUGGCGUAAUGAUGGCCAGGCUGUCUCCACCCGAGACUCAGUGAAAUUGAACUCGCUGUGAAGAUGCAGUGUACCCGCGGCAAGACGGAAAGACCCCGUGAACCUUUACUAUAGCUUGACACUGAACAUUGAGCCUUGAUGUGUAGGAUAGGUGGGAGGCUUUGAAGCGUGGACGCCAGUCUGCGUGGAGCCAACCUUGAAAUACCACCCUUUAAUGUUUGAUGUUCUAACGUUGGCCCCUGACCGGGGUUGCGGACAGUGUCUGGUGGGUAGUUUGACUGGGGCGGUCUCCUCCCAAAGCGUAACGGAGGAGCACGAAGGUUAGCUAAUCCUGGUCGGACAUCAGGAGGUUAGUGCAAUGGCAUAAGCUAGCUUGACUGCGAGCGUGACGGCGCGAGCAGGUGCGAAAGCAGGUCAUAGUGAUCCGGUGGUUCUGAAUGGAAGGGCCAUCGCUCAACGGAUAAAAGGUACUCCGGGGAUAACAGGCUGAUACCGCCCAAGAGUUCAUAUCGACGGCGGUGUUUGGCACCUCGAUGUCGGCUCAUCACAUCCUGGGGCUGAAGUAGGUCCCAAGGGUAUGGCUGUUCGCCAUUUAAAGUGGUACGCGAGCUGGGUUUAGAACGUCGUGAGACAGUUCGGUCCCUAUCUGCCGUGGGCGCUGGAGAAUUGAGGGGGGCUGCUCCUAGUACGAGAGGACCGGAGUGGACGCAUCACUGGUGUUCGGGUUGUCAUGCCAAUGGCACUGCCCGGUAGCUAAAUGCGGAAGAGAUAAGUGCUGAAAGCAUCUAAGCACGAAACUUGCCCCGAGAUGAGUUCUCCCUGAGACUUUAAGUCUCCUGAAGGAACGUUAAAGACGAUGACGUUGAUAGGCCGGGUGUGUAAGCGCAGCGAUGCGUUGAGCUAACCGGUACUAAUGAACCGUGAGGCUUAACCUUACAACGCCGAAG